AAAUCCAAAACCAAAUAUAGAUCGUGAAACUCAACAACUUCAUAGGGUUAGUGUCUGAUGCUAAUUAUUUAUUAAAAAAAAAAAAGUAGCUCCUUUAAGCUUUUAGAACAUGGCGGGAAAUCAUUUCCUCCUGUCUAAAUUGGUUUGGACUCUAGAAGGGCUAAGGAUGACUCAAUAAGGAGUCGACAUUAUCUUCAACAAAUCAAAG
RNAcentral lists this long non-coding RNA (208 nucleotides) under Elaeis guineensis (African oil palm). Its description in RNAcentral is "long non-coding RNA (EGUI_LNC007082)". Lineage: Eukaryota; Viridiplantae; Streptophyta; Magnoliopsida; Arecales; Arecaceae. The record is from RNAcentral.